This 301-nucleotide ribosomal RNA is filed under the name uncultured bacterium. Its description in RNAcentral is "partial 16S ribosomal RNA". It matches the Rfam family "Bacterial small subunit ribosomal RNA", at positions 509 to 808 of the family's 1533-position model. The record is from RNAcentral.
CAGCAGCCACGGUAAUACGUAGGUGGCAAGCGUUGUCCGGAAUUAUUGGGCGUAAAGGGCUCGCAGGCGGUUUCUUAAGUCUGAUGUGAAAGCCCCCGGCUCAACCGGGGAGGGUCAUUGGAAACUGGGAAACUUGAGUGCAGAAGAGGAGAGUGGAAUUCCACGUGUAGCGGUGAAAUGCGUAGAGAUGUGGAGGAACACCAGUGGCGAAGGCGACUCUCCGGUCUGUAACUGACGCUGAGGAGCGAAAGCGUGGGGAGCGAACAGGAUUAGAUACCCGCGUAGUCCCUGUCUCUAUACA